CACGUAGGGCGCAAGCGUUGUCCGGAAUUAUUGGGCGUAAAGAGCUCGUAGGCGGUCUGUUACGUCUGCUGUGAAAACCCAGGGCUUAACCCUGGGCUUGCAGUGGAUACGGGCAGACUAGAGGCAGGUAGGGGAGAAUGGAAUUCCCGGUGUAGCGGUGAAAUGCGCAGAUAUCGGGAGGAACACCGGUGGCGAAGGCGGUUCUCUGGGCCUGACCUGACGCUGAGGAGCGAAAGCGUGGGAGCGAACAGG
Molecule: ribosomal RNA, 252 nt
Filed under: uncultured bacterium
Lineage: Bacteria
Description: partial 16S ribosomal RNA
Rfam family: Bacterial small subunit ribosomal RNA
Source: RNAcentral